RNAcentral lists this long non-coding RNA (241 nucleotides) under Setaria viridis. RNAcentral's name for it is "long non-coding RNA (SVIR_LNC008940)". Lineage: Eukaryota; Viridiplantae; Streptophyta; Magnoliopsida; Poales; Poaceae. The record is from RNAcentral.
UCAAAAACAAGAAAGCUCAUGAGAGUCAAACCAAUCUUGGAAAAACUCCGUGGCAAAAGAAGAACCACCAAUGAUCCCAAUUCAGUACCAUAGAGGGGAUACCAAUUGAAGAAUCAAAAAAUUUCAUCACUUGAUACCAAUUGAAGAAGAUGGAAUCCAAUUGAGAGAUCAAAUGUGAUACCAAUUAAAAGAUCAAAAGCGGAUAUCCAAAACCAAAGCAAGUCUUAGUCCAAACUCCCCC